AAAAUAAUAAUAAUAAAUGAGAAAAAGGCACCUAAAUAAACCCCCCCAGCUACUCCUUCGCCGAUUUCCAUCGAGAAUUUCUUGAAGAUGAAUGAUCGGAGAGAGGCGGCAUAAGAAAGGUGCGUGCCGAUCAGGAUGGAGAAGCAGGGCACGUGCAUUACUCACUCAUGUAACUCCACACCCACGUGGCUGCCUCCGAGUGGGUUGUUCAUGUGCCCCUCUUCUCCAUCCUGACCACUGCAACCUUCCCUAUUUUCAUAUCAUCCUUUUUUUUCCAGCUGUAUUAGAAGCUGUUGCUUCCGCAGGAAUGAUUGAGAAAUAAUUAUCCAGGUGGGAGGGUAGUUGGAUAAAGCUAGUUUUUCUUUUUUUUUCAAUUAUUUUUACAACAACAACCUAGGUAAGGUGUGGAAAUCAAAUCUAGGUUGAUAAUAACAUUAUAGAAUCUAUAAUUGAAUUACGUUCGUUUUGAUAUUAGAUGAAACUAUUUAGCUAAUAGAGCAUAUGGAAAGUAAAUGUAUGUAAUUAACUUACACUUGUAAUUGAUUUCGUAUUUAUUAUGGUAACCCAAAAACAUCCGAUAUCUCUUGAAAAGUGCAAUGAACCGAAUGAUAUUAAGCUUUGCAUGUUUGUAUUAUUUUUGGAAAGAGAGAAGAAAAAACCGAUAAGAUAAGUUUAUCAGGGCUAAUGUUUAAAAACAAACCCAGAAUGUUUUAGAGGGACUAAUAAUGAAAAUUUAUAGAGAGAGGAGAUUAAGAAAUAGGAGAGAAUAGAAAGUAAAAUGAGUGAAAUAUUGUGGCAUCGUUAUAAAAAGGGGAAUAGGAAUGAAGAAGUAAUAGUGGUAGCUAGAGCUACUGGGCAUUUUGAAAAUUAAGGAUCCUGGAAAGUUACGAAUAUCCCGAUGAGGGGGAGACAAAGUGGGAGUAAUAGAUAAUUGGGAUAACAAGUUUUUGGCUUGCUUACUUUCAGCUUUGCUUUGCCACGAUUGCUUGUGUUAUGACAGAUCCACAAACUUCUAGAUUCGCCCCACGACAAAAUAAAUUAACUCUUUCGGGGGGAAUUCUUUCCUUUUGAAAUAUCUAUUUUAUGAUAUUCAAGUUAAUUCAAAAUUAAAUAAUCAAUCUCUCAUCACUCUUUGAUUUGUUGAAAGUUAAAACUUAUUACAGAUGGGAAUUUAUAGCGUAAAGGAACAGAACAAGAUACAAAAAAUCCACAGUAUCCAAUUUCAAAUUCGAUGCAACAGUUGAAAAUUACAAACACGCGUGGGAAAAACUAAAAAGAGAAGGUACAAGUUCUUGACGUCAUACUAUGUUCCAACCAAAAUAAAUUAAAUUCCAAAUUAUGACUUAAAAAAAAAAAUAGGAAAGCUUCAAUUACUUUCAGCGUCUCUUCUUUGAACUUAUUCCACAUGGGGCGCCUCUCGUCUUAACAUGUGACCUUUCACUGUACAUUGUCUCACAAUUGACUCCUCCUUCAAGGGAGAAACUAAGCAGAGAAAAAAGACACUGCACUAAUGAAACAAUCCAGAGCUGUACAAUUCAUGAAUUCAAUCAAAGGAAAAAAUAAUUUCAUAUCAUGAAUUUUGCAAUCGGAACUUUUCUAUACUAAAUUGCCUUCAUACACCUUAGUAGACCUUACAUUAAUAUCUGGGAAUCCUGCCAUAUUUUCUUAAAAAGCAUGUUCAAAUGAAUACAAUAUUAAGUUAAUUACAACCGAUCUUUAAGUUCAAACAAUCACUUACACUAAAUAUAUAUACACAUACAUAUGUAUGUAUGUAUGUAUAUGAUAUAUGCGUGUGAGUGAGAAUAUGUGAAUCAGUUGCGAUAAGUGAAAUAAAUCCACUAAAUUCCAGUUAAAUCUUCCAUCAAUCAAUCACAAUAGAUGUGGAAUUAAUCCACUUGAUAUCCACACAGGGACUUGCACUGAAACACUUGUCCCAACAAAAAAGCCAAAGAGCACUGUACCAAAGUAAAAAGGAUGAAAGCAAGCAGAAGAGGGAUCAGUUGCAGUUGAUAAGAAGCUAACUUCAACAAAUUUUGAGCACAAUAAGUCAAAUGAAUUUUGAGCAAUUUCAAAAGUGUGAAGAUAGCAAGGCAACUGUGUAUGGGUAUUAUAUUACUAAAUCCUUCUGAAGAUCUCUCUCUUCGAAGAUAAUGUAGUUUUGAUGAUUUUUCAGUUCUCUUUUGCUGACUAUUGUUUCAUGUAAUGACUUGUAUUCAGCCACUAGAAAUAAAGACGUCCCACCAUCCUUGUGUAGCCAACUGCGUAGGCCUUGGAAUAUUAAAUAGAGAAAUCAUCAAUACCUUAUGUUUAUGCAAAGUUCGUUCAAAUAUACUUUUUAAUUUCACAACAGGUUCCAACUUCCAUUAGUGGAACUGGGAAGAUCCUAAAAGUUGAUGGUGAGUGAGAUUCAACUUGGAGCUGCCUUCAAGAGAGAGAGAGAAAAGCUUCUUCUCAUCAUAUUGGUGUCAACUAAGAAGCUUUUUCAGUUCUUUUUUCUUUUCUCACCAAACAACUAAAAGCUAAGUUGAAUCAGCUUAAGAUACGGUUUCAGUGCUUUCCAUGUGGAACAAUUUUCUGAAAGUUCUUUUGAUACAGUUGUGUUUAAAAAAAGGAUUCUGUAUUGUUCAAAAGUUACUGUGCAACUAUUCUUGCUGUCCA
This is a long non-coding RNA of Cucumis melo (muskmelon), 2658 nucleotides long. RefSeq lists it as uncharacterized. The record is from RefSeq and is a predicted model, not a curated record. NCBI's taxonomy places the organism in Eukaryota, Viridiplantae, Streptophyta, Magnoliopsida, Cucurbitales, Cucurbitaceae. The transcript is spliced from 3 exons.